RNAcentral lists this ribosomal RNA (439 nucleotides) under uncultured bacterium. Its description in RNAcentral is "partial 16S ribosomal RNA". It matches the Rfam family "Bacterial small subunit ribosomal RNA", at positions 339 to 795 of the family's 1533-position model. The record is from RNAcentral.
CUACGGGGGGCACCGGUGAGGAAUAUUGCACAAUGGGGGGAACCCUGAUGCAGCAACGCCGCGUGGAGGAUGACGCAUUUCGGUGUGUAAACUCCUUUUAUAUGUCAAGAAAAUGACGGUAGCAUAUGAAUAAGCACCGGCUAACUCCGUGCCAGCAGCCGCGGUAAUACGGAGGGUGCAAGCGUUACUCGGAAUCACUGGGCGUAAAGGACGCGUAGGCGGGUUGGAAAGUCAGGUGUGAAAUCCUACAGCUUAACUGUAGAACUGCACUUGAAACUGCUAAUCUAGAGUAUGGGAGGGGGAGAUGGAAUUAGUGGUGUAGGGGUAAAAUCCGUAGAUAUCACUAGGAAUACCUAAAGCGAAGGCGAUCUCCUGGAACAUUACUGACGCUAAGGCGUGAAAGCGUGGGGAGCAAACAGGAUUAGAUACCCGCGUAGUC